AUUGAACGCUGGCGGCAUGCUUUACACAUGCAAGUCGAACGGUAACAGGCCUUCGGGCGCUGACGAGUGGCGAACGGGUGAGUAAUGCAUCGGAACGUGCCCAGAGGUGGGGGAUAACGCAGCGAAAGCUGUGCUAAUACCGCAUAUUAUCUGAGGAUGAAAGCGGGGGACUAAGCAGCAAUGUUUGGCCUCGCGCCUUUGGAGCGGCCGAUGUCAGAUUAGGUAGUUGGUGGGGUAAAGGCUCACCAAGCCAACGAUCUGUAGCUGGUCUGAGAGGACGACCAGCCACACUGGAACUGAGACACGGCCCAGACUCCUACGGGAGGCAGCAGUGGGGAAUCUUGGACAAUGGGCGCAAGCCUGAUCCAGCCAUGCCGCGUGGAUGAUGAAGGCCUUAGGUUGUAAAAUCCUUUCUAACGGGACGAUAAUGACGGUACCGUAAGAAUAAG
This 449-nucleotide ribosomal RNA is filed under the name uncultured bacterium. Its description in RNAcentral is "bacterial SSU rRNA". It matches the Rfam family "Bacterial small subunit ribosomal RNA", at positions 30 to 490 of the family's 1533-position model. The record is from RNAcentral.